UCCGAGUUGACCCCGGCAGUCUCAUAUGAGUUCCCACCAUUACGUGCUGGCAACAUACGACGAGGGUUGCGCUCGUUGCGGGACUUAACCCAACAUCUCACGACACGAGCUGACGACAACCAUGCACCACCUGUACACCGACCUUGCGGGGCGACCAUCUCUGGCCGUUUCCGGUGUAUGUCAAGCCUUGGUAAGGUUCUUCGCGUUGCAUCGAAUUAAUCCGCAUGCUCCGCCGCUUGUGCGGGCCCCCGUCAAUUCCUUUGAGUUUUAGCCUUGCGGCCGUACUCCCCAGGCGGGGCACUUAAUGCGUUAGCUUCGGCACGGAGAACGUGGAAUGUUCCCCACACCUAGUGCCCACCGUUUACGGCGUGGACUAC
This 377-nucleotide unclassified non-coding RNA is filed under the name uncultured Actinomycetes bacterium. RNAcentral describes it as "uncultured actinobacterium contains 16S-23S intergenic spacer region". The record is from RNAcentral. Lineage: Bacteria; Bacillati; Actinomycetota; Actinomycetes.